CCUACGGGAGGCAGCAGUGAGGAAUAUUGGUCAAUGGACGAGAGGCUGAACCAGCCAAGUAGCGUGAAGGAUGACUGCCCUAUGGGUUGUAAACUUCUUUUAUAUGGGAAUAAAAUGGUCCACGUGUGGGAUUUUGCAUGUACCAUAUGAAUAAGGAUCGGCUAACUCCGUGCCAGCAGCCGCGGUAAUACGGAGGAUCCGAGCGUUAUCCGGAUUUAUUGGGUUUAAAGGGAGCGUAGGUGGCUUGUUAAGUCAGUGGUGAAAGUUUGCGGCUCAACCGUAAAAUUGCAGUUGAAACUGGCAGUCUUGAGUACAGUAGAGGCGGGCGGAAUGCGUGGUGUAGCGGUGAAAUGCUUAGAUAUCACGAAGAACCCCGAUUGCGAAGGCAGCUCACUGGACUGCAACUGACACUGAGGCUCGAAAGCGUGGGUAUCAAACAGGAUUAGAUACCCUAGUAGUC
RNAcentral lists this ribosomal RNA (460 nucleotides) under uncultured bacterium. RNAcentral's name for it is "partial 16S ribosomal RNA". It matches the Rfam family "Bacterial small subunit ribosomal RNA", at positions 338 to 795 of the family's 1533-position model. The record is from RNAcentral.